RNAcentral lists this long non-coding RNA (254 nucleotides) under Gossypium raimondii (Peruvian cotton). Its description in RNAcentral is "long non-coding RNA (GRAI_LNC010129)". Lineage: Eukaryota; Viridiplantae; Streptophyta; Magnoliopsida; Malvales; Malvaceae. The record is from RNAcentral.
UUUUCUUGAUUGGUUGCUGAGAAAAUUGUCGGGAAAGUUGGAAGCUUGAAAAACAAUGACAACAUCUUUGAUUUAUUUGAGCUCUAGAAAACUUUGGAGUUAAGCUAGUUAAAUGGUAUAUUGAACAAGUAAAGUUUCUGAUAUCUCCUAAGCAGCUAAAAGGUUUCCGCUUGAAUUUCUUUUUAUUUUUAAAAAUUUUGUUUCAAUUUAUAGUGUUUUUACGUUCAUUUUAAGAGAUAUAUAGCAUUUUGGUU